RNAcentral lists this ribozyme (76 nucleotides) under Gopherus agassizii (Agassiz's desert tortoise). RNAcentral's name for it is "Mammalian CPEB3 ribozyme (ENSGAGG00000017420.1)". It matches the Rfam family "Mammalian CPEB3 ribozyme". From Rfam's summary of the family: The mammalian CPEB3 ribozyme is a self cleaving RNA located in the second intron of the CPEB3 gene which belongs to a family of genes regulating messenger RNA polyadenylation. This ribozyme is highly conserved and found only in mammals. Lineage: Eukaryota; Metazoa; Chordata; Testudines; Testudinidae. The record is from Rfam by way of RNAcentral. RNAcentral also lists the same sequence under 1 other name.
AGCCUUAUUGCGGGGGCCAUACCAGGGGCAUUCAUGUUGCUGCCCUGUUGGAUUCUCUGAAUCUGAGACUGCUGCU